UACGGGGGGGUAAGCGUUGUUCGGAAUUACUGGGCGUAAAGGGCUCGUAGGCGGCCAACUAAGUCGGACGUGAAAUCCCUCAGCUUAACUGGGGAACUGCGUCCGAUACUGGAUGGCUUGGAUUUGGGAGAGGGAUGCGGAAUUCCAGGUGUAGCGGUGAAAUGCGUAGAUAUGCGGAGGAACACCGAUGGCGAAGGCAAUCCCCUGGGCCUGCACUGACGCUCAUGCACGAAAGCGUGGGGAGCAAACAGG
Molecule: ribosomal RNA, 252 nt
Filed under: uncultured bacterium
Lineage: Bacteria
Description: partial 16S ribosomal RNA
Rfam family: Bacterial small subunit ribosomal RNA
Source: RNAcentral